This 231-nucleotide unclassified non-coding RNA is filed under the name fungal sp. Its description in RNAcentral is "partial internal transcribed spacer region". The stretch from base 1 to 46 matches the Rfam family "Eukaryotic small subunit ribosomal RNA", at positions 1786 to 1831 of the family's 1831-position model. Lineage: Eukaryota; Fungi. The record is from RNAcentral.
AAGUCGUAACAAGGUUUCCGUAGGUGAACCUGCGGAAGGAUCAUUAUCGAAUGACACCGCCCGAGCUGUGCGAUCUCUCGCACGCAAGGGUGUGUUCAUCAUCCUCACACCUGUGCACCUUCGGGCCAUCCGUGGCCCGCCUUUUUUUCACACCAACUCGUCUGCGAAUGUACAGUCUGUAUAUGUAUAUUAUACAAAUCACAACUUUCAACAACGGAUCUCUUGGCUCUC